UGGCCCUGUCUGGACAGUUUUAGUUGUCACAGCUGGGGCAGGGGUAGGGCUGGCACCCAGCGGGGGAGGGGAGGAUGAGCUGCUCAGCAUCCUGCGAUGCAGAGGACAGUCCCUCCCACAGGUGGGGGCGCGACGUACCCGGCUUUCAAAGUGCGUGUGGUCACCACCUAAGAGCUAGCGUUUCUUUGUAGAUUUUACAUGAGGACCCAUGGCAUGGCCCAGCAGGAGCUGCUCAAGCCCCAUCCUAACAGGCUUCCUGAGGACACAUCAGCCCAGCUGGGCACCUGGAAUUACGGGCAGAGGGGCCGUGGCGAGGGGGCCGAUGUGUGGACUAAACACCUGCACACGUCACCCCAGGCAACCUCGAGUGACUUCCAGUGACUCGCCAGGUCCGCCCUUAUAGAACGCCCGCCGCAGCGUCACGUGGCAGGCAGAAGUUCCCACCCGGAAAAGCAGCAGGCUGGGCCCGCUUCCGGCGGGAGUGGAAGCGGGUUUGGGGCGCCAACGCUAGAGGGCACUGGCAGCAAACCGCCCCCAACCGCGCCCCCACUCCGUGAGGGGGUCAAAGGAAGAGCCACGCCAGCAAAUCUCUACACUCUACAUGCUUUUUAUUACAAGACUACUGAGCAUACGAGGAAAAUUCAUCAUCUGGUAACUACACCUAAAGCACAUAUAUUUGGGGAAAAAAAAGAGAUUCAUUAAAUUAUAUGAUUAAAUCACUGACCCAAUAGAAAAUUUAUAUAAUAAAGCCAGAAAAAAAAGUUGUAAAAUAUAGUUUACAAUAAUUAUUCACAUUCAAGGCUGUACAUCAAUACAUACAACAACGUGGCCCCGAACAUGAAUUCAAUCCAAAUAAUUCAUAUAUUAGAAUUUAAAUAACACAGACUGAACUAGAGGCCAACAAUAGCCAGCAAAUAACCUUAUAUAAGAAUAAAAAUACAAAAGUGUAUAUCCUAAUAUCAUUGCAUUGUUUUCAUAAGUCUCUUAAUUUUUGCUUUGCCUGUACAUCACAGUUACAGCUACAGACCAGGUAGAGAUUACGCAUGUUCUGACUGCCACCCGCCUGAAAGACGUACUCGUCAUUUCUCCUAUUUUAUGUUGUGAAGGAACAGCUACAGCAGCUCUAAAUACUGUAACAAUUAAAUUUUGCCAACGUCCAACGUACAGUCCUAGUAGAGGCUUUUACCAGCACAAUGACCCCUAUUUGUAGUCAUUCUGCCAGAUGGUUAGGCUACGUGGGUUACACGGCUAAAAAAAGGUCUGCCUUUUGUAAAAAGUUCCCUGUACAUAGUUUGGUGUUUCUUCAUAUUGAAGAAAUGAGUUAUGGGGAAAAUUCAGGUACACACAUAGGCUCCUUCAGUUGUGCUCACCACAGCCAUAGCAACAGAUCAAAGUGCUCUUUGUUGGAAACAGCUUCCUCCUCACAUCAGUUCUCCACAGGCAGCCUCAUCUACAACCCUGCAAUUUUGGGCCAGAAGUGGUGGCCCCUCAGAGGCUCUGAAGUGCCUCCAGCCCCAAUUCAGGCACUUGCCACGUGUGCUGCGUAAGAAGGGACCCCACCCAGUGAGUCAACAUAGGUUCAUGUCAGGUUUGAGUUUGAAAAUAACUGGGGAAAAGUGUAUGACAACAUCUUCCAGAACAUAGUACCUUCACCGUAUUCUCACAGCAGCUGCGCUCUAAAGUCCCAGCAGUGAGCACCCCGGCUCUGUGGACCAGCCAGGCAAGGAAGCCUCAGGCUUCAGAGGAGGGCAAGAAACCAAAUUCUGUGCUAUUUGGCCAUACUCUCUGGUAGAGUGAAGCAGCACUGAACGCGGUGCCUAGAAAAUCCUCCUGCAUGUUCCCCCGUACAAUCAAUGGACCCCAACUAAAGUGGAGAAAUAAAAAUCCAACCAAAUUUGGGUGGUCUGGACUUGCCAAGCCAGGCAAUCUGCAAUACUGUGGGCAGGGAGUGGGGAAGAGACGGCCUGAAAUCUACACCAGCUGGGACAACCACGCCCUACAAUGAAAAAGCCAGCCUGGCUGCCGGGCUCUUCUGAACCACUAAGGCCUGAAGCAGGGGCAGGAGCGGGGAGACAAAUGCACUCGGAAAACCCAAUCAGCGACAUGGUUUUUUUCAAGUGGAGGCUUUGCUCUGCUACUGAUUCCAAAUGGCCUAAUGUACUUUCUGAGUCUAUAAACUUAAUUACAAAUCAUUCACUAAGCAUGUGGCAAGGUCAGUUCAACACUUGUUAUCUCUGCUGACUGUGCAGAUGCAAAUUCAGUACCAUUGUGGACACAAAGUACAAGGUUCUGAAAAUACUGCCAAGCGCUUGAAAGCCACAGCAGCAGGGAUGGCAGAGAGCUGACAUGCAGGCGGAGCCAGGUUCUUGCAACCAAAACAAGGAAACUGGCUCUUGGAAAAAAUCGGCCACAAAUGGAUUGCAGCAAUGACAUCCUCUUAGCAUUUAAAUAAAGAGCGGUCUUAUUCAGACAUUCUUUGGAACACACACAGUUUAUCAGAAACUGAUUUGUUCAGAAUCUGCAGGACACAACUAAGGUGGUUCUGCUACUGGAACUCUGAGCAUCUAAACAUAAGGUUGAGAGAGAGACAGAAAAAUAUAAUUAAAAUGAACAAACUUUUUGACCUCAAAAUACUACUUUUAGGCAUCUAAGGGGGGAAAAAGAAAGAAAUCAGAUGAUUUUAAGGAUAUUCAUCACAGUAUUAUUUAAAUAGUGGAAAAAUCAGAAACCGUCUAAAUAUUUUACAGUAGGGAAAUGGUCAGAUAAAUUAUAGUAAAUGGACAACUAAACACUACAAUUGUUAAAAACGUGUUUCUGAGAAACUCAUGACAUGGGAAAA
Molecule: long non-coding RNA, 2839 nt
Organism: Cercocebus atys (sooty mangabey)
Lineage: Eukaryota; Metazoa; Chordata; Mammalia; Primates; Cercopithecidae
Exons: 2
Source: RefSeq, a predicted model, not a curated record